This 823-nucleotide ribosomal RNA is filed under the name uncultured marine group I thaumarchaeote. Its description in RNAcentral is "SSU rRNA". It matches the Rfam family "Archaeal small subunit ribosomal RNA", at positions 27 to 857 of the family's 1478-position model. The record is from RNAcentral. Lineage: Archaea; Thermoproteati; Nitrososphaerota.
CUGCUAUCGGAUGAUACUAAGCCAUGCGAGUCUUGUAGUAAUACAAGGCAGACGGCUCAGUAACACGUAGUCAACCUACCCUAUGGACAAGAAUAAUCUCGGGAAACUGGGCAUAAUUCUUGAUAGAUCAUAAUGCCUGGAAUGGUUUAUGGUUAAAAUGAUUCGUCGCCAUAGGAUGGGACUGCGGCCUAUCAGCUUGUUGGUGAGGUAAUGGCCCACCAAGGCGAUUACAGGUACGGGCUCUGAGAGGAGAAGCCCGGAGAUGGGUACUGAGACACGGACCCAGGCCCUAUGGGGCGCAGCAGGCGAGAAAACUUUGCAAUGUGCGAAAGCACGACAAGGUUAAUCCGAGUGAUUUCUGCUAAAGAAAUCUUUUGCCAGUCAUAAAACCACUGGUGAAUAAGGGGUGGGCAAGUUCUGGUGUCAGCCGCCGCGGUAAAACCAGCACCUCAAGUGGUCAGGAUGAUUAUUGGGCCUAAAGCAUCCGUAGCCGGCUUUGUAAGUUUUCGGUUAAAUCCAUGUGCUCAACGCAUGGGCUGCCGAAAAUACUGCAUGGCUAGGGAGUGGGAGAGGUAGACGGUACUCAGUAGGAAGGGGUAAAAUCCUUUGAUCUAUUGAUGACCACCUGUGGCGAAGGCGGUCUACCAGAACACGUUCGACGGUGAGGGAUGAAAGCUGGGGGAGCAAACCGGAUUAGAUACCCGGGUAGUCCCAGCUGUAAACGAUGCAGACUCGAUGAUGCAUUGGCAUAAUAGCCAGUGCAGUGUCGCAGGGAAGCCGUUAAGUCUGCCGCCUGGGAAGUACGUACGCAAGUAUGAAACUU